CCUACGGGGAGCAGCAGUGGGGAAUAUUGGUCAAUGGGCGCAAGCCUGACCCAGCAACGCCGCGUGAAGGAAGAAGGCGUCCGGGUUGUAAACUUCUUUUCUGCGGGACGAAGAAAGUGACGGUACCUCAUGAAUAAGCCACGGCUAACUACGUGCCAGCAGCCGCGGUAAGACGUAGGUGGCAAGCGUUAAUCGGAUUUAUUGGGUGUAAAGGGGGGGUAGGCGGGAAAGCAAGUCAGAGGGGAAAACUCAGGGCUCAACCCUGGGCCUGCAUUUGAAACUGUUUUUCGUGAGUGCUGGAGAGGCAAUCGGAAUUCGGUGUGUAGCGGUGAAAUGCGUAGAUAUACGGAGGAACACCAGUGGCGAAGGCGGAUUGCUGGCCAGUAACUGACGCUGAGGCGCGAAAGCGUGGGGAGCAAACAGGAUUAGAUACCCGAGUAGUC
This 443-nucleotide ribosomal RNA is filed under the name uncultured bacterium. RNAcentral's name for it is "partial 16S ribosomal RNA". It matches the Rfam family "Bacterial small subunit ribosomal RNA", at positions 338 to 795 of the family's 1533-position model. The record is from RNAcentral.